RNAcentral lists this ribosomal RNA (495 nucleotides) under uncultured Pseudomonadota bacterium. RNAcentral's name for it is "bacterial SSU rRNA". It matches the Rfam family "Bacterial small subunit ribosomal RNA", at positions 355 to 867 of the family's 1533-position model. The record is from RNAcentral. Lineage: Bacteria; Pseudomonadati; Pseudomonadota.
UGGGGAAUCUUGGACAAUGGGGGAAACCCUGAUCCAGCCAUGCCGCGUGAGUGAUGAAGGCCCUAGGGUUGUAAAACUCUUUCGGCGGGGACGAUAAUGACGGUACCCGCAGAAGAAGCUCCGGCUAACUUCGUGCCAGCAGCCGCGGUAAUACGAAGGGGGCUAGCGUUGUUCGGAAUUACUGGGCGUAAAGCGCGCGCAGGCGGUUCUUCAAGUCAGAGGUGAAAGCCCAGAGCUCAACUCUGGAAUGGCCUUUGAGACUAGAGAACUAGGGUACGGGAGAGGUGAGUGGAAUUCCGAGUGUAGAGGUGAAAUUCGUAGAUAUUCGGAAGAACACCAGUGGCGAAGGCGGCUCACUGGCCCGUUACCGACGCUCAGGCGCGACAGCGUGGGGAGCGAAACAGGAUUAGAUACCCUGGUAGUCCACGCCGUAAACGAUGGAUGCUAGCCGUUGGUAAGCAUGCUUAUCAGUGGCGCAGCUAACGCAUUAAGCGU